UUAAGUGACGAUAGCCUAGGAGAUACACCUGUACCCAUGCCGAACACAGCAGUUAAGCCCUAGAACGCCUGAAGUAGUUGGGGGUUGCCUCCUGUUAGAUACGGUAGUCGCUUAGC
RNAcentral lists this ribosomal RNA (116 nucleotides) under Streptococcus suis. Lineage: Bacteria; Bacillati; Bacillota; Bacilli; Lactobacillales; Streptococcaceae. The record is from RNAcentral.